GACGAACGCUGGCGGCGUGCUUAACACAUGCAAGUCGAACGGAAAGGCCCUGCUUUUGUGGUGUGCUCGAGUGGCGAACGUGUGAGUAACACGUGAGUAGCCUGCCCUUGACUUUGGGAUAACUUCAGGAAACUGAGGCUAAUACAGGAUAGGAGCUCCUGCUGCAUGGUGGGGGUUGGAAAGUUUCGGCGGUUGGGGAUGGACUCGCGGCUGAUCAGCUUGUUGGUGGGGUAGUGGCUUACCAAGGCUUUGCCCGGUAGCCGGCCUGAUAGGGUGAGCGGCCACAUUGGGACGGGGAUACGGCCCAGACUCCUCCGGGAGGCAGCAGUGGGGAAUAUUGCACAAUGGGAGGAAGCAUGAUGCAGCAAAGCCGCGUGGGGGAUGACGGCCUUCGGGUUGGUAACCGCUUUCGCCUGUGACGAAGCGUGAGUGACGGUAAUGGGUAAAGAAGCACCGGCUAACUACGUG
This 468-nucleotide ribosomal RNA is filed under the name uncultured bacterium. RNAcentral describes it as "partial 16S ribosomal RNA". It matches the Rfam family "Bacterial small subunit ribosomal RNA", at positions 28 to 507 of the family's 1533-position model. The record is from RNAcentral.